RNAcentral lists this transfer RNA (72 nucleotides) under Camelus bactrianus (Bactrian camel). It matches the Rfam family "tRNA". Rfam says of the family: Transfer RNA (tRNA) molecules are approximately 80 nucleotides in length. The record is from Rfam by way of RNAcentral. Lineage: Eukaryota; Metazoa; Chordata; Mammalia; Artiodactyla; Camelidae. RNAcentral also lists the same sequence under 3 other names.
GAGGGUAUAGCUCAGUGGCAGAGCACAUACAUAGCAUGUACAAUGUCCUGGGUUCAAUCCCCAGUACUGCCA